RNAcentral lists this ribosomal RNA (253 nucleotides) under uncultured bacterium. RNAcentral describes it as "partial 16S ribosomal RNA". It matches the Rfam family "Bacterial small subunit ribosomal RNA", at positions 524 to 776 of the family's 1533-position model. The record is from RNAcentral.
UACGUAGGGUGCAAGCGUUGUCCGGAAUUAUUGGGCGUAAAGAGCUCGUAGGCGGUUUGUCGCGUCUGCUGUGAAAACUCGGGGCUUAACUCCGGGCCUGCAGUGGGUACGGGCAGACUAGAGUGCGGUAGGGGAGACUGGAAUUCCUGGUGUAGCGGUGGAAUGCGCAGAUAUCAGGAGGAACACCAACGGCGAAGGCAGCUCGCUGGGACGGUACUGACGCUGAGGCGCGAAAGCGUGGGGAGCGAACAGG